UGUUCUGUGGCUAAGUUGGUUAAAGCGCCAGUCUAGCAAAUACGGAAUCGUGGGUUCGAAUCCCACCAGAACGC
This is a non-coding RNA of Aedes albopictus (Asian tiger mosquito), 74 nucleotides long. The record is from Rfam. NCBI's taxonomy places the organism in Eukaryota, Metazoa, Arthropoda, Insecta, Diptera, Culicidae.